Molecule: ribosomal RNA, 253 nt
Filed under: uncultured bacterium
Lineage: Bacteria
Description: partial 16S ribosomal RNA
Rfam family: Bacterial small subunit ribosomal RNA
Source: RNAcentral
UACGGGGGGGGCAAGCGUUGUUCGGAAUUACUGGGCGUAAAGGGCUCGUAGGCGGCCAACUAAGUCAGACGUGAAAUCCCUCGGCUUAACCGGGGAACUGCGUCUGAUACUGGAUGGCUUGAGAUUGGGAGAGGGAUGCGGAAUUCCAGGUGUAGCGGUGAAAUGCGUAGAUAUCUGGAGGAACACCGGUGGCGAAGGCGGCAUCCUGGACCAACACUGACGCUGAGACGCGAAAGCGUGGGGAGCAAACAGG